This 253-nucleotide ribosomal RNA is filed under the name uncultured bacterium. RNAcentral's name for it is "partial 16S ribosomal RNA". It matches the Rfam family "Bacterial small subunit ribosomal RNA", at positions 524 to 776 of the family's 1533-position model. The record is from RNAcentral.
UACGUAGGGUCCGAGCGUUGUCCGGAAUUAUUGGGCGUAAAGAGCUCGUAGGCGGUUUGUCGCGUCUGCUGUGAAAUCCCGAGGCUCAACCUCGGGCCUGCAGUGGGUACGGGCAGACUGGAGUGCGGUAGGGGAGAAUGGAAUUCCUGGUGUAGCGGUGGAAUGCGCAGAUAUCAGGAGGAACACCGAUGGCGAAGGCAGUUCUCUGGGCCGUAACUGACGCUGAGGAGCGAAAGCUGGGGGAGCAAACAGG